This 476-nucleotide ribosomal RNA is filed under the name uncultured bacterium. RNAcentral describes it as "partial 16S ribosomal RNA". It matches the Rfam family "Bacterial small subunit ribosomal RNA", at positions 28 to 523 of the family's 1533-position model. The record is from RNAcentral.
GAUGAACGCUGGCGGCGUGCUUAACACAUGCAAGUCGAGCGAGUGAGUUCUUCGGAACGAUCUAGCGGCGGACGGGUGAGUAACACGUGGGCAACCUGCCUCAUAGAGGGGAAUAGCCUCCCGAAAGGGAGAUUAAUACCGCAUAAACUUAUCGACUGGCAUCACAUGAUAAUCAAAGGAGUAAUCCGCUAUGAGAUGGGCCCGCGGCGCAUUAGCUAGUUGGUGAGGUAACGGCUCACCAAGGCGACGAUGCGUAGCCGACCUGAGAGGGUGAUCGGCCACAUUGGGACUGAGACACGGCCCAGACUCCUACGGGAGGCAGCAGUGGGGAAUAUUGCACAAUGGGGGAAACCCUGAUGCAGCAACGCCGCGUGAGUGAUGAAGGUCUUCGGAUUGUAAAGCUCUGUCUUUGGGGACGAUAAUGACGGUACCCAAGGAGGAAGCCACGGCUAACUACGUGCCAGCCGCCGCCGUAA